RNAcentral lists this transfer RNA (63 nucleotides) under Drawida ghilarovi. RNAcentral describes it as "tRNA-His". Lineage: Eukaryota; Metazoa; Annelida; Clitellata; Moniligastrida; Moniligastridae. The record is from RNAcentral.
UAAAAGAUAGGUUAUAAAAAUCGCUGAAUUGUGGUUUCAGAGAAGUAUAAAAUACUCUUUUUC